GAACCAAUUCUAGCCCUAACACUCAUUCACCUAACAAUAUCCAAACAUAAAAUAAACCAUUCAUUACUAAAGUAUUGGAGAAAGAAAUUUACAUUAGGAGCCACAGAUAUAGUACCGCAAGGGAAAGAUGAAAGACCCAAUUAAAAGUAAAACCAAGCAAAGACUAAACCUUGUACCUUUUGCAUAAUGAACUAACUAGAAAUACUCUAACUAAAAGAACUUAAGCUAGAUACCCCGAAACCAAACGAGCUACCUAAAAACAAUUUUAUGAAUCAACCCGUCUAUGUAGCAAAAUAGUGGGAAGAUUUUUAGGUAGAGGUGAAAAGCCAAACGAGCUUGGUGAUAGCUGGUUACCCAAAAAAUGAAUUUAAGUUCAACUUUAAAUUUACUUCAAGAACUAAAAAUCUUAACGUAAAUUUAAAUUAUAGCCAAAAGAGGGACAGCUCUUUAGGAACGGAAAAACCUUUAAUAGUGAAUAAUAGAAAUUUUACUUAACCAUUGUAGGCCUAAAAGCAGCCACCAAUAAAGAAAGCGUUCAAGCUCAACAUAAAAAACUGUUUAAUCCCUAAAUCUAUAUAUAUAUUUCCUAAAUUAUAAAUUGGGCUAUUCUAUAUUAUCAUAGAAGAAACACUGUUAAUAUGAGUAACAAGAAUUUAUUCUCCUAGCACAAGUGUAUAACAACCCGAAUACCCAUUGUUAGUUAUUACCAAAUUUAUAGACAACAACCACAAAAACAAAUUUAUCUAAAACUAACUUGUUAGCCCAACACAGGAGCGCUUUAAGGAAAGAUUAAUCAAAAUAAAAGGAACUCGGCAAACAAGGGCCCCGCCUGUUUACCAAAAACAUCACCUCUAGCAUUUCAAAUAUUAGAGGCAUUGCCUGCCCAGUGACCAAAGUUAAACGGCCGCGGUAUCCUGACCGUGCAAAGGUAGCAUAAUCACUUGUUCCUUAAUUAGGGACUCGUAUGAACGGCUAAACGAGGGUCCAACUGUCUCUUAUUUUUAAUCAGUGAAAUUGACCUUCCAGUGAAGAGGCUGGAAUAAUUUAAUAAGACGAGAAGACCCUAUGGAGCUUAAAUUAACAAACUUACUUGAAAUUUCACCACACCUAAUGGCACAAAAAUAAUACCCUAAAUUUUAAAUUUUGGUUGGGGUGACCUCGGAGAAUAAAAAAUCCUCCGAAAGAAUUAUAACUUAGACCAACAAGUCAAUGUAACCUUGAUUCCAAUUGACCCAAAAUAUUUGACCAACGGACCAAGUUACCCUAGGGAUAACAGCGCAAUCCUAUUUAAGAGUCCAUAUCGACAAUAGGGUUUACGACCUCGAUGUUGGAUCAGGACAUCCCAAUGGUGCAGAAACUAUUAAUGGUUCGUUUGUUCAACGAUUAAAGUCCUACGUGAUCUGAGUUCAGACCGGAGAAAUCCAGGUCGGUUUCUAUCUAUUAACAAUUUCUCCCAGUACGAAAGGACAAGAGAAAUAGAGCCACCUUUGCAAAAGCGCUCUUAACCAAAUUUAUGAAACUAAUCUAAAUAAAAUAAUGUACUACAAUUAACCGCCUAGACCAGGUCAU
Molecule: ribosomal RNA, 1569 nt
Filed under: Mastomys natalensis (African soft-furred rat)
Lineage: Eukaryota; Metazoa; Chordata; Mammalia; Rodentia; Muridae
Description: 16S ribosomal RNA
Rfam family: Bacterial large subunit ribosomal RNA
Source: RNAcentral